AUCACAAAAUUAAUAUUCCUUCUUAAUUCUUAAUUAAGUUAUUAAUUAUUCGCAGUGAUGGCAAUCGUAGGAGGCCUUGUCGAUGUUCCAUUCGAAAACAAAGUCGAGUUUGAUGAUCUUGCUCGUUUUGCUGUCCAAGAUUACAAUCAGAAAAAUGAUUCUAGUUUGGAGUUUAAAAAGGUUUUGAACGUGAAGCAACAAAUAGUUGCUGGAAUAAUGUACUAUAUAACAUUUGAGGCAACUGAAGGUGGAAACAAGAAAGAAUAUGAAGCCAAGAUUUUGCUGAGGAAAUGGGAGGACUUGAAGAAAGUUGUAGGAUUUAAGCUUGUUGGUGAUGACAGUACAAUGCCUGGGGGCAUUGUCAAUGUUCCAAACCCAAACAACACCGAGUUUCAAGAACUUGCUCGUUUUGCUAUUCAGGAUUAUAAUAAAAAACAGAAUGCUCAUUUGGAGUUUGUAGAAAAUUUGAAUGUUAAAGAGCAAGUUGUUGCUGGAAUCAUGUACUAUAUAACACUUGCGGCAACUGAUGAUGCUGGAAAGAAGAAAAUAUACGAAGCUAAGAUUUGGGUGAAGGAAUAGGAAGACUUCAAGAAAGUUGUAGAAUUCAAGCUUGUUGGUGAUGAUAUUGCAAAACUUGGGGGCAUUACUAAUGUUCCAUUCCCAAAUAACCCCGAGUUCCAAGAUCUUGCUCGUUUUGCUAUUCAAGGUUAUAAUAAGAAAGAGAAUGUUCAUUUGGAGUUUGUAGAAAAUUUGAACGUUAAACAGCAAGUUGUUGCUGGAAUGAUGUACUAUAUAACACUUGCGGCAAUUGAUGCUGGAAAGAAGAAAAUAUACGAAACAAAGAUUUGGGUGAAGGAAUGGGAGGACUUCAAGAAAGUUGUAGAAUUCAAGCUUGUUGGUGAUGAUAGUGCAAAAACUGGGGGCAUUAUCAAUGUUCCAAACCCAAACAGCCCCGAGUUCCAAGAUCUUGCUCGUUUUGCUGUUCAGGAUUAUAAUAAUACACAGAAUGCUCAUUUGGAGUUUGUAGAAAAUUUGAAUGUGAAAGAACAACUUGUUUCUGGAAUGAUGUACUACAUAACACUUGCGGCAACUGAUGCCGGGAAUAAGAAAUAAUAUGAAGCCAAGAUUUGGGUGAAGGAAUGGGAAGACUUCAAGAAAGUUAUAGACUUCAAGCUUGUUGGUAAUGAUAGUGCGAAAAUACUUGGGGGCUUUACCGAAGUUCCAUUCCCAAACAGCCCCGAGUUUCAAGAUCUUACACGUUUUGCUAUUCACCAAUAUAAUAAGAACCAUAAUGCUCAUCUGGAGUUUGUAGAAAAUUUGAAUGUGAAAAAACAAGUUGUUGCUGGAAUGUUGUACUACAUAACAUUUGCGGCAACAGAUGGUGGAAAGAAAAAAAUAUAUGAAGUUAAGAUUUGGGUUAAGGUAUGGGAGAACUUCAAGAAAGUUGUUGAAUUCAAGCUUGUUGGUGAUGAUAGUGCAAAGUCUGGGGGCAUUAUCAAUGUUCCAUUCCCAAACAACCCCGAAUACCAAGAUCUUGCUCGUUUUGCUGUUCAAGAUUAUAAUAAGAAAGAGAAAGCUCAUUUGGAGUUUGUAGAAAAUUUGAAUGUUAAGGAACAAGUUGUUGCUGGAAUGAUGUACUAUAUAACACUUGUGGCAAUUGAUGAUGCUGGAAAGAAGAAAAUAUAUGAAGCUAAAAUUUGGGUUAAGGAAUGGGAGAACUUCAAGAAAGUCAUAGAAUUCAAGCUUUUUAUUGGUGAUGAUGUCCCAAUACUCGGAGGCAUUAUCAAUGUUCAAGGCAUAAACAGCCUUGUGUUCCAAGAUCUUGCUCGUUUUGCUGUUCAGGAUCAUAAUAAGAAAGAGAAGGCUCAUUUGGAGUUUGUAGAAGUUUUGAAUGUGAAGGAACAAGUUGUUGCGGGAAUGAUGUACUAUAUAACACUUGCGGCAACUGAUGCUUGAAAGAAGAAAAUAUAUGAAGCUAAGAUUUGGGUGAAAGAAUGGGAGGACUUCAAGAAAGUUGUAGAAUUCAAGCUUGUUGGUGAUGAUAUUGCAAAACUUGGGGGCAUUACUGACGUUCCAUUCCCAAAUAACCCCGAGUUCCGAGAUCUUGCUCGUUUUGCUGUUCAAGAUUAUAAUAAGAAAGAGAAUGCUCAUUUGGAGUUUGUAGAAGUUUUGAAUGUGAAAGAACAAGUUGUUGCUGGAAUGAUGUACUAUAUAACACUUGUAGCAACUGAUGAUGGAUAUAAGAAAAUAUACAAGACCAAGAUUUGGGUGAAGGAAUGGGAGAAUUUCAAGGAAGUUCAGGAAUUCAAGCAAAUUGUUUAUGCCACAAAAUGAAAUAAAACUACUCUUAUGUUGGUGUGAAGGAAAGCCAGUUGUUUGGUAUGAAGUUAUUAUUAUGCUUGUGUGAAAUAAAGCCAGUUGUUUGGCAUGCAAUUACUGUUAUGUUUGUGAAAAAUAAAGUCAGAUCUAUGUAUCUGACAGUAUUUGAAUGUCUUGUUGCAAGCAUAUUUGAAUAAUUUAAAGUUUGUAAGAUUAAUAAAUGUGUUUUUAUGUGAUGAUAAAUAUU
RNA transcript from Solanum verrucosum, 2566 nucleotides. It is a transcript of the gene named multicystatin-like, with no coding region annotated. Lineage: Eukaryota; Viridiplantae; Streptophyta; Magnoliopsida; Solanales; Solanaceae. The transcript is spliced from 9 exons. The record is from RefSeq and is a predicted model, not a curated record.